GGCACAGAGAAGGCUGAAGACAGUGGAGAGAAUGAGGCACAAAAAGCGGAUGGAGAAGAUGCCGGCAACCUCCCUGGACCCCAGAAGGAAGAAGAGGGAGAGACAGCAACAGAAGAGACGGAAGAAAUAACCGAGGAGGGAGCAGAAGGGGAAGCAGAGGAAGAGGAAGCUGAAGAAGAGGAGCCAGGAGAGGAAGGAGAAGAUUCUUAGGCCUUUCCACGCUCAAUUUCUUCCACGUUUCCAGAAAACCCAAGCCGUGAAGCAACAUUUCAAAUGUCUCCCCACAAACCAAACUCUACGAAAUACUUUGGCCUGAAGCUAGCACAGCUCUCUCAGUACAUUCGGGGUUCACCGAGGACGUACUCUAUCUGACAUGGUUAGAUGUACAUGGAUAUAGCUCCUUAAUCACAGCAGUAUGAAAUUAAAUGUGAACAUAGCAUAUGCAUAGCUCCAUGUGCCUGACACUGACAUUCUUGGCCUUUGCUAAGUUGUUUUUUUUUUUUUUUUUUUUGCUUUGCAUGACUAGACCUUCUUAUUAAUACUCGAAAAAACACGAUUUCAAGGUGUGGAACUUCUCUUUGUGAUACAAUAAAAGUAUUUCUUUGUA
Long non-coding RNA from Lemur catta (Ring-tailed lemur), 607 nucleotides. RefSeq lists it as uncharacterized. The transcript is spliced from 4 exons. Lineage: Eukaryota; Metazoa; Chordata; Mammalia; Primates; Lemuridae. The record is from RefSeq and is a predicted model, not a curated record.